Molecule: long non-coding RNA, 1852 nt
Organism: Megalobrama amblycephala (Wuchang bream)
Lineage: Eukaryota; Metazoa; Chordata; Actinopteri; Cypriniformes; Xenocyprididae
Exons: 6
Source: RefSeq, a predicted model, not a curated record
UCACCAGUGAACCCUUAGAGAUUGAGAUAAAGCUCUCUAUCCAGGAACCGAUAGAGUCUGGUAAUGAAAUCUUUCUCUUUAAUGCUUACAUCUUACAUGUUUGCUUUCUCAAAUGCUCAUUUUCCUAAUUUCCUGCUUUAUGCAUUUGCCUGUCUCAUUCUAGCGAGCUUUGUAUCCGGCGAGGUGACCUUGCAGCGGCCUGGCGGAGAGCUCUGAAGUGUUCCUCGUUAGAUGAGAGUGCUGUCUGUCUCUUUGUGUUUUCGGUUGAAAAUGAUGCCAUUACGCCUGUUCGCCACCUCUCUCUGUCACCCUAACGAAGCUUGGGCCGCUGCGUCGCUCACGCUGGCACGACAGGUGUGCGGCUGCUGCUCGCGUCGGCAGUGACUGAAGACUCUCGCCUCGCUGCGGGUCCCGUAUCUUUCUUCAGACUCAGCGUGCGAACUGCUUUUUUUUAUGGGCCCAUGUGUCAUAUUCUCCUCUAAACAAGGUAAGAAUGUAGAUAAGUUAUGUAGGGAUUUUUUUUUUUUUUUUUUUUUGUUUACUACAUGGAUUUAGGCAUGUUGUCCAAGUCAAUACUUGGAGGCUUGUCAUGUCAUUAAACUUCAUCCGAAGUGUUGUUACUUUGUGCACGGUGCACUUCAGGUAAGUGAAAGUGAGUUUAGUAGACUUUAAAGCAUGACGAAUUUCAAAAGAAAUUGAAGACCUUGUUGAAGGACUCUGUCUGUCUGCUAACUUUCUAAUCCAAUUUACUGUGACGUUUGUGAUUCCAGCUCUGUGUUGUGCUGUAAGUGUAUUAAAACGCUGCCGUCUGACUGCAGGUACUUCAUGAUUAGACUACGGUGAAUAAGAUUGAAGUCGAAAAUAAAACACAGUCCCGGCGGAACCGAUCGUGUGCUGAGGCAGAAGACUGAUUUAAAAAAUGAGAGGAAAAAAAAUAUUUACUGCAUUUGCGUCUGGCGAUCUGAGAAAUAUGCUGGAUGGCCCUGGUUUAAAUUCAAUUCUUCAACACAAGCCGUUUAUUAAGGAGCGAGGGCAGGCUGAGAGUGGAGACUGAGGCGGGCAGAUGGUGGAAUGGAUCAGGAGGAGACGUCCUCUAACCCGGGAUUGAGUCCAGAGAUCAUAGACCGUCCCAUCACGGCCCAAUGGAGCUGGACCACAACACUCUGUGUAUGUAACUAAGACUUUAUAGGUGGGGUAAAAUCUUAUGUUUGCCUUUCAUGAUUGGAUAAAAUUAACCAGAUGGAUGAAAUCAAGUCUUGCCCUUUAUCUUCAUUACGAAAGAGUUCCUAAGACGUGUGUGUAAGUGUGAAGAUGUGUGCGAGAGCUCCAGCUGUGAGAUGUAAGCUGUGCUGGGGUCUGUAGCCGCCCCCCGCCUGCCCUCCCGUGCUCGGCACUCCCGCCGAGACAACCAUCCAAAAGCUGCGAGCGAUAAUGGGAGAUUUGACUGGCCACGCACACCGUGUUCCCAUUAUAUGAAAUCUGUUUUUAUUCUUUUAUUUCAGAAACUCCUCUCUCUGUCUCUCUCUUACCCUCCUCAUCCUUGUUUUCUUUUCUCAAAUCUCAUUUAUCUGGGCGUCUCCUCCCCCGUUUCAUUUUCUCUCUUGGAAAGUGUAAUUAUGAAUAUUUGUCCUUACAUGGGCGGGAAUAAUUUUCUCAUUAUGAACUCUAAAUAAAAUCUUUGUGUGUUUAUGUGUGUGUCUCGAUACACACUUGCAUAACAUAGCGUACUGCAAAUAUUUGCAGCUUUCAUUUGGGCUAAGUGAUAGACAAUAAGAUUUUGAAUCGAAAUGUAUCAGUGCAUAUUAAAUUACCCAUAAAUAUAUUAUUUCUGAAGACAAAGAGCUUGUGUUUC